RNAcentral lists this long non-coding RNA (816 nucleotides) under Monodelphis domestica (gray short-tailed opossum). RNAcentral describes it as "lncRNA (ENSMODG00000045700.1)". The record is from RNAcentral. Lineage: Eukaryota; Metazoa; Chordata; Mammalia; Didelphimorphia; Didelphidae.
AUAUAAUAGAAAUUUUUGUAUAUAUCUAUUUUCUUACUUAUGAAAAGUUUAAAAGCUUGGGCUCAAACUGUCAUCGCUUUUUUUUAACAAUCUAACGGCAUUGCAACGUCUUUGUAUAAUGGCCAACUUCAUUUUUCUAUCUCUAUCAUUGACCCAUCACUCAGGUCUCAAAUUGAUAUUCCUUAUCACAUGACAACCCUAUUCCAAGAUUUCAACUGGCUUCCUAUUGUCAUUACAAAAAAAUACUAAUUCGUCAGCCUGCCUUUAAAAUACUUGACAAUCUGGAUCAUUCCUUUCUACAAAUUGCUCAAGGAAAACUUUUCUACAAGAUGUUCCCAGAAUAUUACAUCACAUUGUCUACCUUCAUACUUUUGCAUGGGGUGUACCUAGAGCUGCAUGUACUCAUCCCCAUGUCUUAAGUCUUAAAUCUCAGGCAACAGCUCUAAAAGUUCAAGUAAUAUUAACUUUUUCCCCUGAUUUUUCCUGUUCUUUCUCUUUAGAAAUAUCUUGCAUUGCACAUCUGGGAUCAUAUUCUAUUCCUCCUUUACAAUAUAAUGAUGAAGAAUAUCAUCAAGAGAAUACAACACCAAGAUGAAUAAUUUGACUUUAGCAAUACCCCCCCCCCCCCAAAAAAAAGUAUGUGUCUUUAAGAAAACAUAAGGUUCUAUUUGGGGAAGAAGAGGGAUUCACUACAGAUUUCAUUACUAUUUAAAAAAAGGUAUUGAAAAACACCAGUAAACAUGUACCUAUGUGGACUACUUUCAAGUCUCUAGCAACAGAGGUAACUUCUUCCAACAUGCCUACGAUGAUUAUAAC